UGGGGAAUAUUGGACAGUGGGCGAAAGCCUGAUCCAGCCAUGCCGCGUGUGUGAAGAAGGUCUUCGGAUUGUAAAGCACUUUAAGUUGGGAGGAAGGGCAUUAACCUAAUACGUUAGUGUUUUGCCGUUACCGACAGAAUAAGAACAGGCUAACUCUGUGCCAGCAGCCGCGGUAAUACAGAGGGUGCAAGCGUUAAUCGGAAUUACUGGGCGUAAAGCGCGCGUAGGUGGUUUGUUAAGUUGGAUGUGAAAUCCCCGGGCUCAACCUGGGAACUGCAUUCAAAACUGACUGACUAGAGUAUGGUAGAGGGUGGUGGAAUUUCCUGUGUAGCGGUGAAAUGCGUAGAUAUAGGAAGGAACACCAGUGGCGAAGGCGACCACCUGGACUAAUACUGACACUGAGGUGCGAAAGCGUGGGAAGCAAACA
RNAcentral lists this ribosomal RNA (427 nucleotides) under uncultured bacterium. RNAcentral's name for it is "partial 16S ribosomal RNA". It matches the Rfam family "Bacterial small subunit ribosomal RNA", at positions 355 to 774 of the family's 1533-position model. The record is from RNAcentral.